RNAcentral lists this ribosomal RNA (433 nucleotides) under uncultured bacterium. RNAcentral describes it as "partial 16S ribosomal RNA". It matches the Rfam family "Bacterial small subunit ribosomal RNA", at positions 29 to 507 of the family's 1533-position model. The record is from RNAcentral.
AAUGAACGCUGGCGGCAGGCCUAACACAUGCAAGUCGAGCGAGCAUUUCGGUGCUAGCGGCGGACGGGUGAGUAACGCGUGGGAACGUGCCCUUUUCUGCGGAAUAGUCCUGGGAAACUGGGGGUAAUACCGCAUACGCCCUUUUGGGGAAAGAUUUAUCGGAGAAGGAUCGGCCCGCGUUGGAUUAGGUAGUUGGUGGGGUAAUGGCCCACCAAGCCGACGAUCCAUAGCUGGUUUGAGAGGAUGAUCAGCCACACUGGGACUGAGACACGGCCCAGACUCCUACGGGAGGCAGCAGUGGGGAAUCUUAGACAAUGGGGGCAACCCUGAUCUAGCCAUGCCGCGUGAGAGAUGAAGGCCUUAGGGUUGUAAAGCUCUUUCAGCUGGGAAGAUAAUGACGGUACCAGCAGAAGAAGCCCCGGCUAACUCCGUG